UACGGAAGGUCCGGGCGUUAUCCGGAAUUAUUGGGUUUAAAGGGAGCGCAGGCGGGAGUAUAAGUCAGCUGUUAAAUAUCAGAGCCCAACUCUGUUAUGCAGUUGAAACUAUAUUUCUUGAGUACGCACAGGGAUGGCGGAAUUCAGGGUGUAGCGGUGAAAUGCUUAGAUAUCCUGAAGAACUCCGAUCGCGAAGGCAGCCAUCCGGAGCGUAACUGACGCUGAGGCUCGAAGGUGCGGGUAUCGAACAGG
Molecule: ribosomal RNA, 252 nt
Filed under: uncultured bacterium
Lineage: Bacteria
Description: partial 16S ribosomal RNA
Rfam family: Bacterial small subunit ribosomal RNA
Source: RNAcentral